RNAcentral lists this non-coding RNA (29 nucleotides) under Homo sapiens (human). The record is from RNAcentral. Lineage: Eukaryota; Metazoa; Chordata; Mammalia; Primates; Hominidae.
UGCAGGAGUCCUGGCAUUGGCUUGGUGGA